GAAGUAGCUCAGUUGGAUAGAGCAUCGGAUUGUGGCUCCGAAGGUCGAGGGUUCGAAUCUCUUCUUC
RNAcentral lists this transfer RNA (67 nucleotides) under bovine gut metagenome. It matches the Rfam family "tRNA". From Rfam's summary of the family: Transfer RNA (tRNA) molecules are approximately 80 nucleotides in length. Their secondary structure includes four short double-helical elements and three loops (D, anti-codon, and T loops). The record is from RNAcentral.